AUUGAACGCUGGCGGCAUGCCUUACACAUGCAAGUCGAACGGUAACAGGUCUUCGGAUGCUGACGAGUGGCGAACGGGUGAGUAAUAUAUCGGAACGUGCCCAGUAGUGGGGGAUAACUGCUCGAAAGAGCAGCUAAUACCGCAUACGACCUGAGGGUGAAAGGGGGGAUCGCAAGACCUCUCGCUAUUGGAGCGGCCGAUAUCAGAUUAGCUAGUUGGUGGGGUAAAGGCCUACCAAGGCAACGAUCUGUAGUUGGUCUGAGAGGACGACCGGCCAAACUGGGACUGAGACACGGCCCAGACUCCUACGGGAGGCAGCAGUGGGGAAUUUUGGACAAUGGGCGCAAGCCUGAUCCAGCAAUGCCGUGUGCAGGAAGAAGGCCUUCGGGUUGUAAACUGCUUUUGUACGGAACGAAAAGCCCUGGGUUAAUACCCUGGGGUCAUGACGGUACCGUAAGAAUAAGCACCGGCUAACUACGUGCCAGCCGCCGCCGUAA
RNAcentral lists this ribosomal RNA (497 nucleotides) under uncultured bacterium. RNAcentral's name for it is "partial 16S ribosomal RNA". It matches the Rfam family "Bacterial small subunit ribosomal RNA", at positions 30 to 523 of the family's 1533-position model. The record is from RNAcentral.